This 465-nucleotide ribosomal RNA is filed under the name uncultured bacterium. RNAcentral describes it as "partial 16S ribosomal RNA". It matches the Rfam family "Bacterial small subunit ribosomal RNA", at positions 29 to 507 of the family's 1533-position model. The record is from RNAcentral.
ACGCACGCUGGCGGCGUGCUUCACACCUGCAAGUCGAACGGAAAGGCCCUGCUUGCAGGGUACUCGAGUGGCGAACGGGUGAGUAACACGUGGGUGAUCUGCCCUGCACUUCGGGAUAAGCUUGGGAAACUGGGUCUAAUACCGGAUAGGAGCCAUCUUUAGUGUGGUGGUUGGAAAGUUUUUUCGGUGUAGGAUGAGCUCGCGGCCUAUCAGCUUGUUGGUGGGGUAAUGGCCUACCAAGGCGGCGACGGGUAGCCGGCCUGAGAGGGUGUACGGCCACAUUGGGACUGAGAUACGGCCCAGACUCCUACGGGAGGCAGCAGUGGGGAAUAUUGCACAAUGGGCGCAAGCCUGAUGCAGCGACGCCGCGUGGGGGAUGAAGGCCUUCGGGUUGUAAACUCCUUUCGCUAGGGACGAAGCUUUUUUGUGACGGUACCUAGAGAAGAAGCACCGGCUAACUACGUG